AAAUUAGAGUGUUCAAAGCAGGCCUUUGCUCGAAUACAUUAGCAUGGAAUAAUAGAAUAGGACGUGUGGUUCUAUUUUGUUGGUUUCUAGGACCGCCGUAAUGAUUAAUAGGGAUAGUCGGGGGCAUCAGUAUUCAAUCGUCAGAGGUGAAAUUCUUGGAUUGAUUGAAGACUAACUACUGCGAAAGCAUUUGCCAAGGAUGUUUUCAUUAAUCAGUGAACGAAAGUUAGGGGAUCGAAGACGAUCAGAUACCGUCGUAGUCUUAACCAUAAACUAUG
This 278-nucleotide ribosomal RNA is filed under the name Ditylum brightwellii. RNAcentral's name for it is "partial Eukaryotic small subunit ribosomal RNA". It matches the Rfam family "Eukaryotic small subunit ribosomal RNA", at positions 763 to 1041 of the family's 1831-position model. Lineage: Eukaryota; Bacillariophyta; Thalassiosirophyceae; Lithodesmiales; Lithodesmiaceae. The record is from RNAcentral.